GUAGGUGGCAAGCGUUGUCCGGAAUUAUUGGGCGUAAAGCGCGCGCAGGCGGUCCUUUAAGUCUGAUGUGAAAGCCCACGGCUCAACCGUGGAGGGUCAUUGGAAACUGGGGGACUUGAGUACAGAAGAGGAAAGCGGAAUUCCACGUGUAGCGGUGAAAUGCGUAGAGAUGUGGAGGAACACCAGUGGCGAAGGCGGCUUUCUGGUCUGUAACUGACGCUGAGGCGCGAAAGCGUGGGGAGCAAACAGGGAUUAGAUACCCUGGUAGUCCACGCCGUAAACGAUGAGUGCUAAGUGUUAGGGGGUUUCCCGCCCCCUUAGUGCUGCAGCUAACGCAUUAAGCACUCCGCCGUGGGGAGUACGGCCCGCAAGGCUG
This 376-nucleotide ribosomal RNA is filed under the name uncultured organism. RNAcentral's name for it is "partial 16S ribosomal RNA". It matches the Rfam family "Bacterial small subunit ribosomal RNA", at positions 527 to 896 of the family's 1533-position model. The record is from RNAcentral.